This 441-nucleotide ribosomal RNA is filed under the name uncultured bacterium. Its description in RNAcentral is "bacterial SSU rRNA". It matches the Rfam family "Bacterial small subunit ribosomal RNA", at positions 71 to 507 of the family's 1533-position model. The record is from RNAcentral.
CACGGGAGCUUGCUCUUGGUGGCGAGUGGCGAACGGGUGAGUAAUACAUCGGAACGUACCCUGAAGUGGGGGAUAACGUAGCGAAAGUUACGCUAAUACCGCAUAUUCUGUGAGCAGGAAAGAGGGGGAUCGCAAGACCUCUUGCUUUAGGAGCGGCCGAUGUCGGAUUAGCUAGUUGGUGAGGUAAAGGCUCACCAAGGCGACGAUCCGUAGCGGGUCUGAGAGGAUGAUCCGCCACACUGGGACUGAGACACGGCCCAGACUCCUACGGGAGGCAGCAGUGGGGAAUUUUGGACAAUGGGCGCAAGCCUGAUCCAGCCAUGCCGCGUGAGUGAAGAAGGCCUUCGGGUUGUAAAGCUCUUUCGGUGGGGAAGAAAUUGCUUCGGUUAAUACCUGGAGUAGAUGACGGUACCCGCAUAAGAAGCACCGGCUAACUACGUG